Long non-coding RNA from Ailuropoda melanoleuca (giant panda), 386 nucleotides. RefSeq lists it as uncharacterized. Lineage: Eukaryota; Metazoa; Chordata; Mammalia; Carnivora; Ursidae. The transcript has 3 exons. The record is from RefSeq and is a predicted model, not a curated record.
UGUGUGUGUUUGGUAGGGUUACUAGGAGCCUGGGAAGCUUUCGGUGUGAGUUGCUUCUUUGUCAGUUCCUGUUCAGAAGCAUAAGUCCCCACUGGAAAUGGUCUUGGGAAAUCCCAGGUUUUCAUGGAGGGAAGGAAGGCCAUCAACCCUCCCUGCAGGUGGACAGAGCAGAAGAGGGAACUCUCCAGAAAAAAGAUGGACCAAAUACACAAAAAGAGAACUGAAAGAUGGAGAGAACAUAUUUCCUCUGAGUUUCUGAAGUUUUUCAAGGGCAGAAAAGCAACAUGGUGUGGAGGAAAAGGCAUUCAACUGGGAGUUUUGAAGAACGAAAUCCUAGACCUACUCCUGCCACUAGCUUUGCUCUGUAAUGCUGAGUCAAUCAUGAG